RNAcentral lists this ribosomal RNA (439 nucleotides) under uncultured bacterium. RNAcentral's name for it is "partial 16S ribosomal RNA". It matches the Rfam family "Bacterial small subunit ribosomal RNA", at positions 339 to 795 of the family's 1533-position model. The record is from RNAcentral.
CUACGGGGCGCUCCAGUGAGGAAUAUUGCACAAUGGAGGGAACUCUGAUGCAGCAACGCCGCGUGGAGGAUGACGCAUUUCGGUGUGUAAACUCCUUUUAUAUGUCAAGAAAAUGACGGUAGCAUAUGAAUAAGCACCGGCUAACUCCGUGCCAGCAGCCGCGGUAAUACGGAGGGUGCAAGCGUUACUCGGAAUCACUGGGCGUAAAGGACGCGUAGGCGGGAUAUCAAGUCAGGUGUGAAAUCCUACAGCUUAACUGUAGAACUGCACUUGAAACUGGUAACCUAGAGUAUGGGAGGGGGAGAUGGAAUUAGUGGUGUAGGGGUAAAAUCCGUAGAUAUCACUAGGAAUACCUAAAGCGAAGGCGAUCUCCUGGAACAUAACUGACGCUAAGGCGUGAAAGCGUGGGGAGCAAACAGGAUUAGAUACCCCCGUAGUC